AUUCAACUGACUAGUCCUGAAUAGGACGAAAUGCUCAUCCUGGAU
Molecule: non-coding RNA, 45 nt
Organism: Schistosoma mattheei
Lineage: Eukaryota; Metazoa; Platyhelminthes; Trematoda; Strigeidida; Schistosomatidae
Source: Rfam